UUAGGGUGAAGAUGUUGGAAUGGCUCAAUCAAGUUAAAGACUCCCAGUAUUUUGGCAUAACUGGGUCUUUCUAAUUUGAUUGAGCCGUGCCAAUAUCCGGUCUUCACCU
Non-coding RNA from Beta vulgaris subsp. vulgaris (sugar beet), 109 nucleotides. NCBI's taxonomy places the organism in Eukaryota, Viridiplantae, Streptophyta, Magnoliopsida, Caryophyllales, Amaranthaceae. The record is from Rfam.